RNAcentral lists this long non-coding RNA (1282 nucleotides) under Apteryx rowi (Okarito brown kiwi). Its description in RNAcentral is "lncRNA (ENSARWG00000003556.1)". The record is from RNAcentral. Lineage: Eukaryota; Metazoa; Chordata; Aves; Apterygiformes; Apterygidae.
AAUUUGGCCAUGAGUUUGCCCAGGGCAAGGGCUACCAACAUGACCAGUGGCACCAGCGAGGCACCCCUCUGCUGCUGCAAGGAACAAGCUCCCAGGAGGACCCGUUCCUCCAGCCCUUGGCACCUCCUCCGGCAGCAGCAUCCGAUCAGGUCAUAACAUCRCUGCCUCACGAUAUCAGGCCAGAGCACCAGACAGCAGUGCUCAGCCCAGGGAYAGCUGUCUUUCCAGAAGUUUGCUAUGACCAUUCUCCACAGGUGGUCCAGCCACCAGGAGAUGCCAGGGAGCCUCAAGGCACCCCACUGCCCCUUGGGGUACAGCAGGCUACUGCAGGAGAGCAGCAUGAGUUAAAUGCAAGGACCCGAACGGUCUCGGAGAGCUCCACUAUCUCCCUAGAAGAGGACAUUCAGCCUUCCUUGGAAAGCAUGGCCGAGGAUGUCACUGAAGAGCAGUCAUCGGAGGAGGAGAAGCCAGAUGAAGUUAAGAGCUCGGGAUUCAGAUGGUUCGGCUGGUUUCGGUCGAAGCCCCCCAAGGAAGCCUCUCCCAAAGCCACAUCCGACACGCUGGGAUCUCAGGAACGGUCUUCGCCAUCACCCCCUUCUCCUCUUCYGGUGGCUGGGACAAGCCCUUCAGCUCAGCCUCCUGGGGGCCCAUCUCCUACUGCGCCCAGCCCUUCCUCCAGAAACCCAGUGUCCAUUGAAACGAAAGGCUCGUGGGGCAUGGACGGCGGGGACCUGGCAGCCUUUCCUGAGGCUGGAGAUCAGGAGGGCUCCCACGAACCUCCGCGGGGCCCCAGCCUGCCGGCGGAGGCCGUCCCGCUCUUCAACCCCGUCCAGGUCCCUCAGCUCGCUGCUGCCAGGCCCAACCAGCCCCGGCUGCUGUCCCAGCGGCGGUACCCCAACCCGCUGUGAGCGGGGGCCGCAGGGCCCUCUUCCACCCUUUUCCUCGGCGAGGGAGAGGCUCCCCGGGCCAGGCCCACGCGGGAGCUGCCCGGGCUUCGCUGGACCACUGGCACCACCAUUGCUGUUGGGAGGACCUCUCCGUGCUGAUGAAGUGCUCGUGAGGAGCCCGGCCSGCCUGCCUGCUGCCUCAAGGCACGCGUGCGGCAUCCGUCCGGGCCAUGUGUGUGUUCAAUGUCUGAAGAAACCACCUGCUCCCCUGCACCCCUGUGGCGUCGUGCUGGUCCCCUUCCUCUUCCCACCGCGCUGUGGUGGCCCUUCUUCCAAACAAAAAAUUUUUCUUUUUAUYCUGGUGGAAAAAUACAAGUUUGGCCACGAGAAAGCGC